UACGUAGGGGGCUAGCGUUGUCCGGAAUCAUUGGGCGUAAAGGGUGUGUAGGCGGUUCUUUAAGUUUGGUGUGAAAUCUCCCGGCUCAACUGGGAGGGUGCGCCGAAUACUGAGGGACUAGAGUACGGGAGAGGAAAGUGGAAUUCCUGGUGUAGCGGUGAAAUGCGUAGAUAUCAGGAGGAACACCGGUGGUGUAGACGGCUUUCUGGACCGUAACUGACGCUGAGACACGAAAGCGUGGGUAGCAAACAGG
Molecule: ribosomal RNA, 253 nt
Filed under: uncultured bacterium
Lineage: Bacteria
Description: partial 16S ribosomal RNA
Rfam family: Bacterial small subunit ribosomal RNA
Source: RNAcentral